This 433-nucleotide ribosomal RNA is filed under the name uncultured bacterium. Its description in RNAcentral is "partial 16S ribosomal RNA". It matches the Rfam family "Bacterial small subunit ribosomal RNA", at positions 29 to 507 of the family's 1533-position model. The record is from RNAcentral.
AACGAACGCUGGCGGCAUGCCUAACACAUGCAAGUCGAACGAGACCUUCGGGUCUAGUGGCGCACGGGUGCGUAACGCGUGGGAACCUGCCCUUAGGUUCGGAAUAACUCCCCGAAAGGGGUGCUAAUACCGGAUAAUGUCUUCGGACCAAAGAUUUAUCGCCUUUGGAUGGGCCCGCGUUGGAUUAGCUAGUUGGUAGGGUAAAAGCCUACCAAGGCGACGAUCCAUAGCUGGUCUGAGAGGAUGAUCAGCCACACUGGGACUGAGACACGGCCCAGACUCCUACGGGAGGCAGCAGUGGGGAAUAUUGGACAAUGGGCGAAAGCCUGAUAAAGCAAUGCCGCGUGAGUGAUGAAGGCCUUAGGGUUGUAAAGCUCUUUUAACCGAGAUGAUAAUGACAGUACCGGGAGAAUAAGCUCCGGCUAACUCCGUG